GGUUGAGUAGUGUAACGGUUCAUCACGAGUCCUUCACACGGACUAGACCCGGGUUCGACUCCCGGCUCGACUA
RNAcentral lists this transfer RNA (73 nucleotides) under Hirsutella minnesotensis 3608. Its description in RNAcentral is "tRNA-Val (CAC) (tRNA-Val-CAC-1-1)". It matches the Rfam family "tRNA". Rfam says of the family: Transfer RNA (tRNA) molecules are approximately 80 nucleotides in length. Their secondary structure includes four short double-helical elements and three loops (D, anti-codon, and T loops). Lineage: Eukaryota; Fungi; Ascomycota; Sordariomycetes; Hypocreales; Ophiocordycipitaceae. The record is from RNAcentral.